RNAcentral lists this ribosomal RNA (473 nucleotides) under uncultured bacterium. RNAcentral's name for it is "bacterial SSU rRNA". It matches the Rfam family "Bacterial small subunit ribosomal RNA", at positions 335 to 800 of the family's 1533-position model. The record is from RNAcentral.
ACUCCUACGGGAGGCAGCAGUGGGGAAUAUUGCACAAUGGGCGCAAGCCUGAUGCAGCCAUGCCGCGUGUAUGAAGAAGGCCUUCGGGUUGUAAAGUACUUUCAGCAGUGAGGAAGGUGGGUAUGUUAAUAGCAUAUUCAUUUGACGUUAGCUGCAGAAGAAGCACCGGCUAACUCCGUGCCAGCAGCCGCGGUAAUACGGAGGGUGCGAGCGUUAAUCGGAAUUACUGGGCGUAAAGCGCAUGCAGGUGGUUUGUUAAGUCAGAUGUGAAAGCCCGGGGCUCAACCUCGGAAUUGCAUUUGAAACUGGCAAACUAGAGUACUGUAGAGGGGGGUAGAAUUUCAGGUGUAGCGGUGAAAUGCGUAGAGAUCUGAAGGAAUACCGGUGGCGAAGGCGGCCCCCUGGACAGAUACUGACACUCAGAUGCGAAAGCGUGGGGAGCAAACAGGAUUAGAUACCCUGGUAGGCUGUAC